RNAcentral lists this long non-coding RNA (3508 nucleotides) under Malus domestica (apple). RNAcentral's name for it is "long non-coding RNA (MDOM_LNC004005)". Lineage: Eukaryota; Viridiplantae; Streptophyta; Magnoliopsida; Rosales; Rosaceae. The record is from RNAcentral.
CAGAUUGGAGAGGUAAUUCAGAUUAUAUGUGGGAUGAACCUCAACAAUUUCAACAAGGUGGAUAUUGGCAGCAAGACGAGUUCUAUUCAAGACCUAUGCAGCCACCACAGCAUCCCCCACAACAAUUCCAAUCAAAUCAAAAUAUGCCCAUGAAUUAUAAUGAAAUUCUGGAAGGACUAAUUUCUGUGGCGCAGGGUUUACGAAAAGAAGAACAAUUGCCGCCAUCGGAAGAGUUCUAUCAGUGGCCAUAUGAACCAUCACAGCCACCACAACAAUCAACCCAAUUCAAUUCAGGUACAUCCUUGGAUAAUGAUACACUGAAUAAUUUACUCGCCUCUUUGAAUCAGGGAGUAGAAAAUCAAAACCAGGAGAUGCAAGACCGAGUCAAAAAGAGUAGACGAAUUGGAUAUGCAUGUUGGGCAAAUUAUGGAAUUCAUGGCACAGAUUCAAGAGCAAAGUGAAGUCUCCAACUCAACUCUUGAAAAAUUCAAAGGCAGAAGUUGAAAUCGAUGAAGCCAUCACCUUGGAAGGUGACAGGGAGGAUGAAGCUGUCCCAGAACCAUCCACACACAGCCCGAACUUGGAUGAAUUGCUGCUGCAAGCAGAAGGGGAGGAGGACGACCUGGGCAGUUUAGAAGAAUUCUUGCUGCAAGCUCCUCAAAUCCCUCUGUCAUCCAACUCAGGUGAGGAAGUUCCCAUUUCAUUUCAUUCUAAUGAUAUUCCUAUUCUUGGUGCAACAAAGCAGGUCCUAGAUCGUGUUGAAUAUUUCAAAGGCCUUUGUUUCCCAAGAAAUAUGAUUCAAGAGAAUGAAGUGGUGGAAGCAUGUCAAGAAUACAUCCAAGGGGCUGUGCAUGAGACAAUCAAGCCCAAAGCCGUUGAGUUUGAUGACCCGGGACAAGCCACAACCAUCAUAGUAAAUCUGGCCAAGUUCAAAGUCCCGGAAAUGUUCAAAAAAUGUGGUGUUUGUCAUUGAGUUUUGUGCCAGAAAAAGAAAGUAAGCCAUCUUCUCCAAUUUUAAUUUUUAUUUAUACUAACAUUUUUCUGAGUUUGAUGAUUCAGGCACCCACUCGUGAAUUCAAACCAUUGCCGAAUCAUUUCAAGUAUCACCUCCCAUUAAAAGAUAAAUUCCAUGCUUUGGAGCCGAUGGGAGUUUAAAGGAAAGAUUCGUCCGGCUAAAGACGUUAAAUCAAGCGCUUCUUGGGAGGCAACCCAAGCAUUCAACGAAGGGAGACUUUGAAAUUGCUCAACAAAUCUUUUUCCGAUCAGAUUUGCAUUCCUAAACCCUUCUCUUCAGUUGUGAUUUCUGAGUUGUGAUUUAAUUUGCUUAACUGCUUGAUAGAUAACUUAUUUUUGUAUGUCGAUUAAGGAUGCAUACUUAAUUUACAUGCAUGAAUUUGAUGCUAGAAUAUAAGUGAAUUUCACCUAAUCGUUAUGAACUUAUAUUCACAAGUAGUAAAGGUUGCUAGUCACAAUCACGUUAAGUAAAUUCUUGGCAUAAGUUUCAUGCAAAUCAUAGUAACGAGUGCCUCGUCAAUGCUUAUGUUUUUCAUAGAACUUACUGAUUCUUGCUUGUAUCUCUAUUAUGCAAUUCAUGUAGGGAACUUGUAGGGAAUGUUUUGGGUUGUCGUAUGCAAUCAUCCAACCCAAUAACUUGUGGAAAAACUUGAAGGUUAAUUUAAGCGGACCUAAUUAAUCUGGGGUAUUGAGAUUUACAAUUUAUUGAAAGAACAACUGAAAAUCAAUUUAGGUUGCAUAUAUGUCAUGUGUGGAGAAGAACCCUCUAGCCAGUCCGUCAUUUAUCAUUUUACCUUAAUUUUAUGUUUUUGUCAAUUCUGUAAUUUAGUUAAGUUUAAUUUACUUUUCAUCAAAACCAAACACCCAUCCAUUAUUAAAUUAUAUUAUUUAGUUAGUUUUAUUUAUUGUUAGUCUUUUAAUUUAAUUUCCGUCCAUUUCAGUUCCUAGUGUUUAAUUUAAUUGUUUUCAUUAUUUUGAGUCAUUCUAAGUGUGUUUCGGGUUAUUAGAGUUUUUAGCCUAGUUUUGUGUCCUUGAGUCUUAUUUAAUAUAUUUAAAUUAAUUGAGAAUAGAUUAGCAAUCCCUCCUAAUCCCCGGCCUAGAACGAUACCCUACUUACAUCCAUACUACAAUUGUCAAAAAGAGGGUUUAAUUUGUGUGUCAGGUAAUUCUCGCACCAAAUUUUGGCGCCGUUGCCGGGGAUUAGCAACUUUGCUAAUCCUUUUAUUUUUGUUUUUGCUUAUGUUUAUUUGUGUUUGUGUAUGUUACUUUUGAUAUUUGAUUUAUUUUUCUUUCUUUGAAUUGAGGUACAAAUGGAGCAAGACCUGGAUUCUACUAGCAUUCAAGAUCUAUUGGCACAGCUCACUGCUCAAUUAACUCAUAAUGCCGAACGGACCACAAUGCCAAGUGUCCCUACAUUUGAUGUGCCCUAUGGGCAAGGAUAUCAAGGUCCUCAAUUUUCUGCAAAUGAAGAUGUUUGGGGAUAUCAAGGCCAUAACCAAUCAAGGGGCAACAUGUUUUCCAAUGCUUACAAUUCAGAUUGGAGAGGUAAUUCAGAUUAUAUGUGGGAUGAACCUCAACAAUUUCAACAAGGUGGAUAUUGGCAGCAAGACGAGUUCUAUUCAAGACCUAUGCAGCCACCACAGCAUCCCCCACAACAAUUCCAAUCAAAUCAAAAUAUGCCCAUGAAUUAUAAUGAAAUUCUGGAAGGACUAAUUUCUGUGGCGCAGGGUUUACGAAAAGAAGAACAAUUGCCGCCAUCGGAAGAGUUCUAUCAGUGGCCAUAUGAACCAUCACAGCCACCACAACAAUCAACCCAAUUCAAUUCAGGUACAUCCUUGGAUAAUGAUACACUGAAUAAUUUACUCGCCUCUUUGAAUCAGGGAGUAGAAAAUCAAAACCAGGAGAUGCAAGACCGAGUCAAAAGAGUAGACGAAUUGGAUAUGCAUGUUGGGCAAAUUAUGGAAUUCAUGGCACAGAUUCAAGAGCAAAGUGAAGUCUCCAACUCAACUCUUGAAAAUUCAAAGGCAGAAGUUGAAAUCGAUGAAGCCAUCACCUUGGAAGGUGACAGGGAGGAUGAAGCUGUCCCAGAACCAUCCACACACAGCCCGAACUUGGAUGAAUUGCUGCUGCAAGCAGAAGGGGAGGAGGACGACCUGGGCAGUUUAGAAGAAUUCUUGCUGCAAGCUCCUCAAAUCCCUCUGUCAUCCAACUCAGGUGAGGAAGUUCCCAUUUCAUUUCAUUCUAAUGAUAUUCCUAUUCUUGGUGCAACAAAGCAGGUCCUAGAUCGUGUUGAAUAUUUCAAAGGCCUUUGUUUCCCAAGAAAUAUGAUUCAAGAGAAUGAAGUGGUGGAAGCAUGUCAAGAAUACAUCCAAGGGGCUGUGCAUGAGACAAUCAAGCCCAAAGCCGUUGAGUUUGAUGACCCGGGACAAGCCACAACCAUCAUAGUAAAUCUGGCCAAGUUCAAAGUCCCGGAAAUGUUCAAAAAUGUGGUGUU